This 305-nucleotide ribosomal RNA is filed under the name uncultured bacterium. RNAcentral describes it as "bacterial SSU rRNA". It matches the Rfam family "Bacterial small subunit ribosomal RNA", at positions 337 to 660 of the family's 1533-position model. The record is from RNAcentral.
GCCUACGGGGCGCAGCAGUGGGGAAUAUUGCACAAUGGGGGGAACCCUGAUGCAGCAACGCCGCGUGAGUGAAGAAGUAUUUCGGUAUGUAAAGCUCUAUCAGCAGGGAAGAUAAUGACGGUACCUGACUAAGAAGCCCCGGCUAACUACGUGCCAGCAGCCGCGGUAAUACGUAGGGGGCAAGCGUUAUCCGGAUUUAUUGGGUUUAAAGGGUGCGUAGGCGGGAUGCCAAGUCAGCGGUAAAAAUGCGGUGCUCAACGCCGUCGAGCCGUUGAAACUGGCGUUCUUGAGUGGGCGAGAAGUAU